GGAUGGGUGCGGCCGCCGUUUUCGAGCGUGGAGAUGCGGUGGAUGAGCUGACGAAUGCCCGAGGGGGGCCCUCGCUUAACUGGCUCUCCAAAGACACCGUGUAACUAUUUCUCAUGCAAAUUGUGUAGCUGCCACCAUUGUUCUCAAUUAUCAAAGCGUGCUGGGGUUAGGGAAUAAUUUGAUCCUGUAUUUGUAAUUCUUCUUGGGAUAUGACACCGUGUAACUAUUUCUCAUGCAAAUUGUGUAGCUACCACCAUUGUUCUCAAUUAUCAAAGCGUGCUGGGGCUAGGGAAUAAUUUGAUCCUGUAUUUGUAAUUCUUCUUGGGAUAUGAAAAAUCUUAUCAACGUUUGAGCUUAUUUGUUUCACCGUUUUGUGUCUCUGUUCCUAAAACCGAUAAAUAAAUUCUGAUAGACUCUAGUCUUAACG
This 427-nucleotide long non-coding RNA is filed under the name Triticum aestivum (bread wheat). Its description in RNAcentral is "long non-coding RNA (TAES_LNC017798)". Lineage: Eukaryota; Viridiplantae; Streptophyta; Magnoliopsida; Poales; Poaceae. The record is from RNAcentral.